This 460-nucleotide ribosomal RNA is filed under the name uncultured bacterium. RNAcentral's name for it is "partial 16S ribosomal RNA". It matches the Rfam family "Bacterial small subunit ribosomal RNA", at positions 338 to 795 of the family's 1533-position model. The record is from RNAcentral.
CCUACGGUGUGCUGCAGUGAGGAAUAUUGGUCAAUGGACGCAAGUCUGAACCAGCCAUGUCGCGUGCAGGAAGACGGCUCUAUGAGUUGUAAACUGCUUUUGUACGAGGGUAAACGCAGAUACGUGUAUCUGUCUGUAUGUAUCGUACGAAUAAGGAUCGGCUAACUCCGUGCCAGCAGCCGCGGUAAUACGGAGGAUUCAAGCGUUAUCCGGAUUUAUUGGGUUUAAAGGGUGCGUAGGUGGUUGGUUAAGUUAGAGGUGAAAUCUCGAGGCUCAACGUCGGAAUUGCCUCUGAUACUGUUCGGCUAGAGAGCAGUUGCGGUAGGCGGAAUGUAUGGUGUAGCGGUGAAAUGCUUAGAGAUCAUACAGAACACCGAUUGCGAAGGCAGCUUACCAAGCUACUUCUGACGUUGAGGCACGAAAGCGUGGGGAGCAAACAGGAGUAGAUACCCUAGUAGUC